This 681-nucleotide long non-coding RNA is filed under the name Capra hircus (goat). RNAcentral's name for it is "lncRNA (ENSCHIG00000002237.1)". Lineage: Eukaryota; Metazoa; Chordata; Mammalia; Artiodactyla; Bovidae. The record is from RNAcentral.
AAACGGCCUUGGGCAGACGUGGCUUUGGUCCUCUGUGGUCAGAGGGACAUGAGGUCAGGUGCUUAGCAGCUGGUCAGAGGCUGCUGCAGCAGCAAUUUGCAGGGAAUGGAGUGGCACAACAGAACAGACUCCAAAGGCCCCUAAACCGGCCAUCAACAGGAACCAGGAACUCGUGGGUUUCUCUCUCUCAAUGUCCAGCAAGUCUUAUGACUCUCUUGUCAUGUGCACUUGCAAAUGGGCCCCCCUCUCCAUUUCCCCCUCCCCCUAAAAGGACUGUGCCAUGGAACAGGGGGUGCAGACAUCAGACAGAGAAAAAUAGAAUGGACCACUGCAGGACCAGGUGCUGGAAGAGAAAGAGGAAAGCAUUUCCUCUGUGCUCGGUGGACCAGCAUGCCGAUCUCUCAACAUGAGGAGAGAGGCCACCUGGAAGUAGAUGGAAGGAAGGGCCCGAGAGAGGGGCGAGAGGAAUGGAAGAAGAAAGGAAAAGAUUCCUGGAGGCUCAGUUGGCAAAGAAUCCGCCUGCAAGCCAGGAGACCUGGGUUUGAUCCCUGGGUCCAGAAGACUUCUUAGACAAGGAAAUGGUAACCCACUCCAGUAUUCUUGCCUGGGAAAUCCCAUGGGGAGAGGACAGAGGGCAGAAGAGCCUGGCAGGCUACAGUCCAUGGGUUCACAAGACUUGCA